CCAUCCCGCUCGCGCCCCCGCCCCACCUCCGCGCCGCCCGGGGUCGGCCCACGCGGCGCCGGCGCCCUAGCGCGUACGGCUCGCGCUUCCUAGCCCUCGGGGCGCCCCAGCCUUUGCGUGCUGGAUCCGGAGCCCGAAUACUCUGGCCUUGGGGAAUGGACCCAUUAAGCCUUCCCGGAAGCCUAAAGGGCGCUCGAGGCAGUAAGGCGGAGCUGAGGGGCCGCAUCAUUAAGCCCAGGGCUUAGGGUGGGUGGGCUCGUGCAGACACACACACAGAAUGUUCCCAAAGGCUCUACCCGGAGGCAUCCUUAGCUGACCAUUCACUGCGUUUUCGAUGGCAACUUGUUGCUUGGAUUCUAGUCAGGACCAAGUUCUUGUAUUUGAGGGGAAUUUGGAACCACGCUCUUUCCCACCCACUCAGAAGAUACUACCACGGUUCUACAAAUAAGACAUCUGCUCGUUCAAAGAAAACUAUCCAUUCUGGGCUUCAUGGAGUCAGUGAGUGUUUCCUGCUUAGCCCAGCAUGUACUGUGGGCUUAACUAAGGGGGAUGACAGAGGUCAGUCUUAUGCACCAACACUGUUUUGCCAGGCCCUCUACAAAACUGCAAAUGAGCUGCCCCCCUCCUCUCUGCAGGCUUUCAAGAUAACUCAGCGAUUUUCCAUGGUUUUGAGAUUGUGAUGCCCUUUAAUAUUGUUUUUCGCGCAAUGAAAUCUCAACCCACUGGGAUGCGACCCACAGAUGAUAAAGCAAAUACAAAUAUAUCUGCCUUAUCGCUGAAAAUCCCGACUCUGCUACUCAGAACACUGAGAGUCUAUUGUGGAACCUGGACUCUAGGAGCUAUAUUGAAAAUCAUCACUGGUUCUACAGAAUUCUAUUAUCUGGAAAAAUCCGCACUCAGAUACUAGUCAUUUGAGAAAGCACAAUCUCUUAUGUCCCUACGGAGACCUAGCUAACAUUUUGGGGAUAUGAUAUUAACUAUCUCCAAAAGGGCCCAUGGACUAUCCUGUUUUGAGAUUCUUCUGAUGUCUGAAGAAAGGGAACAGGUGGAUAUUAUGCUGAAAGAAGUACUUUCACAAAAUGAUGCCCAAGCAUCUUGCUCAAUUUAACUCAAAAUUUUAUUCAUUAUCUACAAGGUACCAGGCACGAAGCAAGCUGCUGAUGAUAUGGAGACCAAUAAAGCUUCAACUUCCCCUUAAGAAAUUCACAGUGUAGUGGGGAAGAUGCAAAAUAACUUUUAGACAAUCGAUAGUAGCAUACCAAUAGUACUGCAGAAACAGUGAUGAGAGAGCUGUUAAUUAGGGCCAGAAGCUCCUGAAAAAAGAGGUGACAGGUCAUUACAAGGAAGCCAUAUGGAAGUGCCAUUAACUCCAGUAACAGCAACAUUUAAGGAAUGAUUGAAGACCGGGGAGCCAGCAGGAAAGGACAGAAAAGAGCAGACAGAGAGGAGACAGAGAGGGAGACAGAUAAUCCGAAGCAGGCCCCUGGCUGUGAGCUGUCAGCACAGAGCCCGACGUGGGGCUCCAACUCAUGAACCAUGAGAUUGUGACCUGAGCCAAAUUCGGAUGCUUAACCGACUGAGCCACCCAGGCACCGCUAUAUGUUUCUCAUUUAUAUGCUUCUACUAAGUCCCAGCCAUGGCGCCUUGCACUCAACAUGUAUCAUCCUCCAAACAACCCAGAAAGGAAAUCCAGCUGCCAUGGGGAGACCCAUAUGGCAAUGAACUGCUGUCUCCAGCCAACAGUCAGAGAUGAUGGAGGUCUGCCAACAGCCACCUGAGUGAACUUGGAAAUGGAUCCUUCUCCAGUCAAGCCUUGAGAUGACUGCAGCCCCCACCAAUAGCUUGACCACAAUUUUGUGAAGAAUCCUGAACCAGAGUUACCCAGCUAAGCUGCUCCCAGAUUCUUGCCCCACAGAAACUGUGAGAUCAUAAAUGUUUAUUGCUAUCAACUGCUAAGUCUUGGGGUGAUUUUCUACACAGCAAUAAAUAACCAAUAUAGGUUGUUUACAUCUUCUUAAGAAAUUCUGUCUUAAGAAAUUCUGCUGGUUUAAUCCCAUGCUCAACUUUUAAAACUUGUUGCUAUAUCAGUCUUGAAGGGCCAAGUUCAGGCCAUGCAAGAAUGUGAACACAGAGCUGACUUUAGAGAAGUAUCUCUACAGGCAGGAUGAGUGUCACAAAUAAAUACUAUAAAUCACUUUCUUUAUCUUAAAAAAAAAUGUGUGGGAACGCCUUUCCUCAACAGAUGACAUGCCUCCACUUAGAAAAGCAGAAUCUUGUUCCUUCUCAAACAUGCUGAAAAGACAUUUCCUCAUUGGUUGUAUUGCAUAUUUGCAAUCUCCUCUCCUUUCAUCCCUGAUUCAAGGUCAGGCAUCUGUUGUUUGCUUUGUUCUCUGUGAGUGAAGCAGUGCGUGGAUUGGCAUUCAGGUGCAACCUUUUAUUCCUAGAAUAACGCUCUUCUUUGCUAAGCAUAUGGCCAGGUUUCCAUCAGUACUGACCCCAACAUGUAUUUUCUCAUGUAAUAAUUAUUACAGAUGAAAACUCUCUUCUCCCACAGCAUGAAUCUGCAGUGAUGAACAGAAUAAAGUGUCAUGGAGCAUCCUCCCAUUACUAUAUGUAGCACAUGUAUGCCAAAGGCUGUUUUGUACAUAGAACAUCAGCUGUUUCCUUCCUAUGUCUAGGGAAGUAUCUUCCAGGAUGCACACAUAAUAGUAAUUGCCCUUUUACAUUGUACGCUGUUGAAUUUUUGCAAUGGCCUAGAGCAUCGCUAGAUAAAGGACUUCUGUUUGCUUUCUCCUCAAGCAUAAAAUGUGUCAUUAGCUCCGUAAUUGGAUUUAUACCUUUUUGGCAAUAGAAUGAUUUAUAGCCUUGUUUUGCUGCAGAAAUGUAGAUUUCAAUCACGUUGCUAUAGUUAUGAUAUUUUCUGUCUGCCUUUAGAAACAAAAUUCAUCAAUUUGGAAAGCUCUUAUUUUGCUCUUAUUCUAGAAAAAAUAUUAUUUCUUUACUGAGGGGUCACCAUGUUUUGUUCAAAAAAGCCAGUAAAAAGUCACGGGUGGCUUUAUGCUUAUAUAUGAACAAGUUCAUAAUAAUACAUUGAGGAAUAGAGAUGAAUAAAUUGCUAGCCCAGUAACAUCCAAUUUUCAGGUACUCACUAUCCCUCUUAGAAUUUGGCUGCUAUUUUUUUGCCCACUUGUGCAAAAUAAUCACAUUUUCAGGUGUUUAUCCUAUAACAUACAGAAUCAUACUUUAUAUUUUCACUAGAGUCCUGUUCACUAUUUAUAAUGCUAUUUUUUACUUGUGGUAGUCACAUUACUAUAGUUGUGAUUUUAAAAAAAACUUUAAU
Long non-coding RNA from Leopardus geoffroyi (Geoffroy's cat), 3340 nucleotides. RefSeq lists it as uncharacterized. The transcript is spliced from 4 exons. NCBI's taxonomy places the organism in Eukaryota, Metazoa, Chordata, Mammalia, Carnivora, Felidae. The record is from RefSeq and is a predicted model, not a curated record.